UCAUAGGUCAGUUGGUAAGAGCAUGAGACUCUUAAUCUCAGGAUUUGGGCUUCAAGCCCAACAUGGGGCAGAA
Molecule: non-coding RNA, 73 nt
Organism: Podarcis lilfordi (Lilford's wall lizard)
Lineage: Eukaryota; Metazoa; Chordata; Lepidosauria; Squamata; Lacertidae
Source: the annotation of a GenBank genome assembly